GCCGGGGUGGUGGAAUCGGUAGACACACAAGACUUAAAAUCUUGCGGGCAUAAGCCUGUACGGGUUCAAAUCCCGUCCCCGGUA
RNAcentral lists this transfer RNA (84 nucleotides) under Candidatus Kentrum sp. FM. Its description in RNAcentral is "Candidatus Kentron sp. FM tRNA_Leu_TAA". It matches the Rfam family "tRNA". From Rfam's summary of the family: Transfer RNA (tRNA) molecules are approximately 80 nucleotides in length. Their secondary structure includes four short double-helical elements and three loops (D, anti-codon, and T loops). Lineage: Bacteria; Pseudomonadati; Pseudomonadota; Gammaproteobacteria. RNAcentral also lists the same sequence under 1 other name. The record is from RNAcentral.